GGACGAACGCUGGCGGCGUGCUUAACACAUGCAAGUCGAGCGGUAAGGCCCUUUCGGGGGUACGACGAGCGGCGAACGGGUGAGUAACACGUGGGUGACCUGCCUCAGCUCUGGGAUAAGGCCUGGGAAACCGGGUCUAAUACCGGAUAUGACUCCAUGACGCAUGGUUGUGGGGUGAAAGCCUUGUGCGGCUGAGGAUGGGCCCGCGGCCUAUCAGCUUGUUGGUAGGGGUGANGGGCCUACCAAGGCGACGACGGGUAGCCGGCCUGAGAGGGCGACCGG
RNAcentral lists this ribosomal RNA (282 nucleotides) under uncultured bacterium. RNAcentral's name for it is "partial 16S ribosomal RNA". It matches the Rfam family "Bacterial small subunit ribosomal RNA", at positions 27 to 307 of the family's 1533-position model. The record is from RNAcentral.